UGGGGAAUAUUGGACAAUGGGGGCAACCCUGAUCCAGCGAUGCCGCGUGUGUGAAGAAGGCCUGCGGGUUGUAAAGCACUUUCAGUUGGGAAGAGAAGCACAGUAUGAAGAAUAGUGUGUGGAGACGUUACUAACAGAAGAAGCACCGGCUAACUCUGUGCCAGCAGCCGCGGUAAUACAGAGGGUGCAAGCGUUAAUCGGAGUGACUGGGCGUAAAGGGUACGUAGGCGGUUAUGUUAGUCUGAUGUGAAAGACCUGGGCUUAACCUGGGAUGUGCAUUGGAAACGGCAUAGCUAGAGUAUGGGAGAGGGAAGUGGAAUUUCCGGUGUAGCGGUGAAAUGCGUAGAGAUCGGAAAGAACACUGGUGGCGAAGGCGGCUUCCUGGCCCAAAACUGACGCUGAGGUACGAAAGCGUGGGGAGCAAACAGGAUUAGAUACCCCCGUAGUCC
RNAcentral lists this ribosomal RNA (449 nucleotides) under uncultured bacterium. Its description in RNAcentral is "bacterial SSU rRNA". It matches the Rfam family "Bacterial small subunit ribosomal RNA", at positions 355 to 796 of the family's 1533-position model. The record is from RNAcentral.